GAUGCCAUUACGAUUGAUCAUAUAAUAGUCUUAUGGUGGUGACCUGUAGGUUUGAAACUCGUGGGUUUGGGUUGUUUUGUUUUUCCACUGAGUUUUUGUCCUGGAUUACAUCAGACCAUAACAGAUACUUUUUCCUCCCUAAAAUCCACUGCCAACUGGUCAGAUGGCUAGGUCUCUUUCUGUCAAAAGUACUGAUUGCAAGCCCCUUUCAGUACCACUCAGCUUAUCCUGGCAUUUUCAGAUAUGGUUUAAUUGGAGUAAGGUUAAUCUACUUGUAUGUUAACCAAAAACGGGUAAGACCAGGAGAAGCCCCUGGGAAGCUUAAUUUCUAAAAUUUGUGCUGUAGACUUUUAUGGAGAAGAGUUUUGCUCUCACAGGUGGACAAUUCAGUAUCUUUCACAACUACUCUGCUUCAAGGAUAUGACAAGCUGUAGCAUAGAAUUAAAAACUUUGCAUAGGAAAAGACACAGUGAGAUGUGGCAAACAUGACAGCAUACACAUUUAAAAGCUUUGGUGACUGAAGAGCUGGAAAGUAUCCCAAUGUUGGCCUUCUUUUGGCAGAAGGAAGCCAUGUUACAAGGAGUCCUCUUGCCAAGCAGGCAGUUUUCUGUAAGCAAGCAGGUUACAUGACACUAAAAGAUGUAUAGGUUACUGAACUGGAAGCUCAUACUGUGAUUUGUUUUUUUAAUUCAACCGUUUCUAUCUUUGUUUUUAACUAGGUGUCUUAGGACUUCAUUGUUGGUGAUGAUUUUUUUUCCUCCUUUCCUAAAAUGUAAAAGUAUUGUCUUAAGAAUUCACAAGAAUGCCCGUCAUUGAAUUGCUUAUCAAGGAAUGGAAUGUCUGUCUGUUCAAAAUCCUCUUUGAUCUGUUUCCAGAGCCCAUGCAGUCCAUACAGCUCCAUAAGCUAGAAAAGAAUGCCGGAGAUGGAUUGUCAUGAGAGAUGGGCUCUCUUCUGGUAUUCAGCCAAGCUGCCCCUUUCUGUAACCCACAAAACUGUUUGUUCUGGUAGUGUUAGAUCAAAAGCAAGCAUUCUUUGAAACAUGUAGUAGUGUUGGUGGUGUCAUUUGCAGAUUAAUGCAUGCAAUAGCCCUCUCUCUCUCACAGUUGGAUGAUCCUAUAUAACUUGGAUGCAGGAUUGUAAAUUGACAUUGAAUAUUACUGCAAGUUAGGUACUCUUUUUUAGAAGAAUACUUAGGACUCAGACCACGGCGGGAAUUUGAAUGGAACUGAUGUGACUGUGCAGGAGUAAUUUCCAAGAGCAUUGCGUAUCAAGACCAUACUUCAUAGGAUUAGGACACCUGUUGUUGCCUAUCUGGACUUCUGUAAGGCCUUUGACAUGGUCCCCCACAACAUCCUUCUCUCUAAAAUGGAGAGGUAUGGAUUUGAUGGGUGGACUGUUUGGUGGAUGAGGAAUUGGCUGGAUGGUUGCGUGCAGAGGGUAGUGGUCAAUGACUCAAUGUCUAGAUGGAGGUCAGUGAUGAGUGGUGUCCCCCAGGAGUCCGUAUUGGGACCAGUACUGUUUAAUAUCUUCAUCAAUGACAUAGACAGUGGGAUUGAGUGCACCCUCAGCAAGUUUGCAGGUGACACCAAGCUGAGUGGUGUGGCUGACAUGCCUGAGGGAUGGGAUGCCAUCCAGAGGGACCUGGACAAGCUUGAGAGGUGGGCCCGUGUGAACCUCAUGAGGUUCAGCAAGGCCAAGUACAAGGUCAUGCACCUGGGUCAGGGCAACCCCUGGUAUCAAUAGAGGCUGGGGGAUGAAGGGACCGAGAGCAGCCCUGCAGAGAAGGAUCUGCAAAGGACUACUACUCUUGAGCUAUUUGUUCAAUUCAAGCUUAUGCUGAUUAUUGGUUUUUUCUGCUGCAAGGUUAGUAAAUCAUUUAUUAGAUCAUUGUACCAAUUAUUCUAGUUAUGAGAGUAACUUCUGCUGCCUUUCAUGUAGGUAAUAUUUCAACUUACAUUCUGUACCACUUUCAUGUUGUGGAAGGGCUGUUUUUCAGCCUCUUGUUCAUGGCUGAUUUGCCUUAACUGCUCUGAUUCAUGCUAUUUUGUUCUUUAAAUUAGAGAAUGAUUUUUUUUUUUUCCAAGGCUUUGAAAUAAACUAUCCCUGCACUUCUUAUGAAGUACUGCAGCACAACUAAUAAAAUUUAACUAGCCAUCUACCCACUCUUAAUAUUUUUCUGAGUUCUCCAGAUCAGGAGAGAUUCUUAUGUAGUACUAUAGUGCAUCAUGAAUCAGAAAUAGCUAUUGUUUCCUUUACCCUGAAGGCUGCUAAUAAGCAGUCAAGCAUUGUCAUUUAAGAAGUGUACUAGUACCUACAAUUUUUUGUUCCCCAAUACCUGUUUGUAGACUGCUGUUUGCAUUUCCUUUCUUUUUGUUUAAAGAGGUAUUGAAUUACAUGUGAAUAGUCACAUAGUGUUUUGUAAGUAAAUGGAAAAAUAUGGUUGUUCAGUUUAUGUUCUUUGUAUGCUUAUGAUGAUGAUGGUUUUCCAUUUUCCUUAAAGGUUCCAAGUAUUAGCUAAAUGAUACUCCAGUAAAGUGAGAUUAAUGUUUUGAUAAUGCUUCCUAAAUAACUUAAAUGUUCUGAUCCUUCCCUUUUAGUUUUUAUAUACUAGGUUAAGUUUUAGAAACUUCUAGCUUACGAAUAUUUCCUUUUUUAAUUCAGCCAAAUGACAGAGUUGUGUAGAUUUCUCUGCUGGUUUUAAGAGGCAAGGCCAAAAGCUUUGAGAAUGUGUCAUUUACAUUAAAGUCCUAGGAAUCAUUUUAAAAUGUAUUGUUCUUGCAAAAGAAGUGUAUCUAAAAUGAGCCUGACAUUGAUCUCAAGAUGCAAGGAAGAUGAGCGUUGCUGCAGUAGCUUUAAAGGAUGUUAGCACAAUAAAGAAGUAUCUUCAGCGUGUCUCCUAUCAGUUACCUUUCUGACUAUAGUAAUUUAGCAUGAAAAAUGAAAUGUUGUUCUGGAGGAAAGUACAUGAAGUGUGCUUUUUUCUUUUGCUGUAUUUUGUAAAUUGCCAGAAAUGUAUGCAUAUUUAUCCAAAACUUUUUUUCCAAGAAAGUGUAUUAAUCAGCCUAUUAAUCUCUGCACAUAGAGCUGUUCACUGAAUCAUUGUUCAGAAAUGAGAAUCCAGAUACUGAUGUGCUUCUCACCGGUGGACUUGUUUGGUAUAAGCCUUGAUGGUGCCACUGUUUUCGAUCAUUUCACUGAAAUACAGAAAGGCCUGCAGAGGGCAGACUGAGAAGCCUGGAUUUCUGACUUUCUGAAUCUCUAAGUGUAAAUAUAGUCACCGAACUGUUUCAGUGUGUAGAUAUUCUUUAAUUUAAACUAUAGCAUGAUGGUUUGGUGUUUGGCUUUGAAGUGUUUCAGAAAGCACCUGACAUGAAUAAAGAAGGAAUAGUAAACACUAACUUGCCUUGAUCUGUUGGAAUUAGGAUCAGACGGAAACCUUGGUCAUUGUGUGGCUCUCCUGCAGAACUGGAUCAUAGAAUCGUAGAAUAUCUCAAGUUGGAAGGAAGCCACAAGGAUCAUCGAGUCCAACUCCCUGCUCCUCACAGGACUACCCAGAACUAAACCAUAUGUCUAAGAGCUUCAUCCAGAUGCUCUUUGAAUUCUUGACAAGUUUGGUGCUUCACUGGGGAGCCUGUUCCAGGGACCAACCACCCUCUCAGUGAAGAACCUUUUCCUAAUGUCCAAUCUGAAUUUCCCCUGAUGAAGCUUCGUUCCAUGUCCUCAUGUCCUGUUGCUGGUCACCAGAGAGAGGAGAUCAGCACCUCCCCCUUCGCUGCCCACUUUGAGGAAGUUAUAGACUGCGAUGAGGUCACCCCUCAGCCUUCUCUUCUCCAAACUGAACAAACCACGGGACCUCAGCUGCUCCUCCUAAGUCUUGCCCUUGAGGCCUUUUGCCAUCUUGGUUGCCUUCCUCUGGAUACACUCUAAUAGUUUGGUGUCCUUCUUAUAUUGAGGCACCCCAAACUGCACACAGUACUUGAUGUGGGGCCGCACCAGUGCACUGUAGAGUGGGACAAUCACCUCCCUUGACCGGCUAGCUAUGCUGUGUUUGAUGCACCCCAGGACACAGUUGGCCCUUUUGGCUGCCAGGGCACACUGCUGACAUCGAUGAUGUUGUAUUCCAUUUGUCCCCAAAAUGUUGAAGGCAUAGAGAGCCGAUUCCUUUAAGUCAGUAUGGCAAUUACAUCCAUAAUAGAUUAAACAGAAAACACUGAUCUACCAAAAAACUACAAAAAACAGUUGAAAGUACCUUUCAAUAUGUUCUUAGAUAACCAUAAAUUUUAAACUUCUAACCUCUUGUGUUUUCAUUCUUUGUAAUCGUGCUUGAGUAAAGCAGGAGGAUGUUCAUGGUAGCCUACUGGAGAUUUGUAGAAACAUGCUAACCAGUAAAUUUUCCAAGAAACACAGAAACUUAGGAUUUGGGUGAAGACCUGUGUGUUGAUUAAACUGGGGUGCAAAUCAUUUACUGGAAACUUGACUGGCUACUUUGUGUGGUUACUUUACAAAAUCUGCCUAACCUGAAAAGCCAUCACUGUUUACCUGAAUUCAGUUUGCACUCCUUCCCUUUGACGUCAGUUUUGCUUUGACUUGUAGGUAUCACAGUGGAUAAUUAUUCAUAUACAAUAACCAUAUUGUUCUUCCCUCUCUCCACAAUAAUUGUCCUACCUGGCAAGUUAAACAUUUGUGUCAUUAUGAGAAAUAACUAGCUGGAAAAUGACAGAUUUUUCUGUUUGUUCAUUAGCUGUACUAAGGAAAAUGAUUCAUGCUAUGUUAAUGAAUACUGCUAUUUAUCUCCUUCAAGAUUAGAGAUCAAGAGAAGAUUCUCUUUUAUACCUUAGAAGUUCCUCUCAUGUGGCCUAGACCUAGAUAGGAGCAAAGGGCAGCUGUGAAUAUUUUUAUUUCUGCUCACUGUUGUAGGAAGAAUAUACUGAAUUGUUAGUGCAGCAGAUCUUCUCUCUCCUAUGGUUUCAUGAUUUUUACAUUGUCUAUGUACCGUUUAUUACAGCAUGCUGUUCACUUCACUUUGCAGGGAUCCAAGCAAUUGAACCUUGCAGGAUACUCUCUGUUGACCUAGUCAUUAACCAAUUCCUGUUUCAGCUGCCUAUCUUAAGAAAAUAUGUGUAAUUAUGUUUCAUUUUGCAACCUAGGUGCACUUUUAAUUUCUUCCCUGCCAAAUAAAUUAUAAGCUUGAAUAUCCA
Harpia harpyja (harpy eagle) is the source of this 5199-nucleotide long non-coding RNA. RefSeq lists it as uncharacterized. The transcript has 2 exons. The record is from RefSeq and is a predicted model, not a curated record. Lineage: Eukaryota; Metazoa; Chordata; Aves; Accipitriformes; Accipitridae.